This is a long non-coding RNA of Helianthus annuus (common sunflower), 374 nucleotides long. RefSeq lists it as uncharacterized. The transcript has 3 exons. Lineage: Eukaryota; Viridiplantae; Streptophyta; Magnoliopsida; Asterales; Asteraceae. The record is from RefSeq and is a predicted model, not a curated record.
GGGUGUUUGGGAUUCCUUAUUUUGCAAAAACUUUUAACUUAUUGUCUUCAAUCCUCCUCCAACAACCUAUCUGCCGCCUUCAUGAAUCCUCAUCAUCCCCAGCUUCAAUUACUCCCCCAUCUACCAUUCAUACUAGCUUCAAUUAAUCACCCCCAAUCUCUGCCGAUCUGCCUGCCACACUGAAGACGACGACGUACAACUGGUUUGACGCUCCAUUCUUCCGUAAAACACUAAAACCCUAAAGAUCAUCAUCAUCAUCAUCUGCAAAAGACAGAAAAACUUGGAUCUCCAUGUGGUUCCUCCACCGUUAAGAGACAGCUGCAACACCAAAGGUGUUUAAGCUACUAGCGUGCUAGGGAAGUGAGGCAAUAAUA